RNAcentral lists this ribosomal RNA (544 nucleotides) under Salmonella enterica subsp. enterica serovar Indiana. Its description in RNAcentral is "bacterial SSU rRNA". It matches the Rfam family "Bacterial small subunit ribosomal RNA", at positions 36 to 538 of the family's 1533-position model. The record is from RNAcentral. Lineage: Bacteria; Pseudomonadati; Pseudomonadota; Gammaproteobacteria; Enterobacterales; Enterobacteriaceae.
CUGGGCUCGAUUGAACGCUGGCGGCAGGCCUAACACAUGCAAGUCGAACGGUAACAGGAAGCAGCUUGCUGCUUUGCUGACGAGUGGCGGACGGGUGAGUAAUGUCUGGGAAACUGCCUGAUGGAGGGGGAUAACUACUGGAAACGGUGGCUAAUACCGCAUAACGUCGCAAGACCAAAGAGGGGGACCUUCGGGCCUCUUGCCAUCAGAUGUGCCCAGAUGGGAUUAGCUUGUUGGUGAGGUAACGGCUCACCAAGGCGACGAUCCCUAGCUGGUCUGAGAGGAUGACCAGCCACACUGGAACUGAGACACGGUCCAGACUCCUACGGGAGGCAGCAGUGGGGAAUAUUGCACAAUGGGCGCAAGCCUGAUGCAGCCAUGCCGCGUGUAUGAAGAAGGCCUUCGGGUUGUAAAGUACUUUCAGCGGGGAGGAAGGUGUUGUGGUUAAUAACCGCAGCAAUUGACGUUACCCGCAGAAGAAGCACCGGCUAACUCCGUGCCAGCCGCCGCGGUAAUACGUCGUGACUGGGAAACCCCCUGGCGA